Molecule: small RNA, 127 nt
Filed under: Marmota monax (woodchuck)
Lineage: Eukaryota; Metazoa; Chordata; Mammalia; Rodentia; Sciuridae
Source: RNAcentral
GCCGGGCACGGUGGCACACUCCUGUAAUCCCAGCAGCUCAGGAGGCUGAGGCAGGAGGAUCAUGAGUUCAAAGCCAGCCUCAGCAAUUUAGCAAGGCACUAAGCAACUCAGUGAGACCCUGUCUCUA